RNAcentral lists this ribosomal RNA (238 nucleotides) under uncultured bacterium. Its description in RNAcentral is "partial 16S ribosomal RNA". It matches the Rfam family "Bacterial small subunit ribosomal RNA", at positions 96 to 334 of the family's 1533-position model. The record is from RNAcentral.
CGGCGGACGGGUGAGUAACGCGCGGGUAACCUGCCUCAUACAGGGGGAUAACAGUUAGAAAUGACUGCUAAUACCGCAUAAGACCACGGUACCGCAUGGUACAGUGGUAAAAACUCCGGUGGUAUGAGAUGGACCCGCGUCUGAUUAGGUAGUUGGUGGGGUAACGGCCUACCAAGCCGACGAUCAGUAGCCGACCUGAGAGGGUGACCGGCCACAUUGGGACUGAGACACGGCCCAG